This is a long non-coding RNA of Mus musculus (house mouse), 7113 nucleotides long. RefSeq annotates it as predicted gene, 36402. The transcript has 2 exons. The record is from RefSeq and is a predicted model, not a curated record. NCBI's taxonomy places the organism in Eukaryota, Metazoa, Chordata, Mammalia, Rodentia, Muridae.
UUUUUUUUUUUUUUUUUGGAUCUUUGAGACAGGGUUUCUCUGUGUAGCCCUAGCUGUCCUGGACAGUACUGUCUCACUUUGUAGACCAGGCUGGCCUCGAACUCAGAAAUCCACCUGCCUCUGCCUCUCAAGUGCUGGGAUUAAAGGCGUGUGCCACCACCACCAGGCAUUUGUCAUACUUUUUAAAGAAAUUGUAGUUAAGGUUAAAAACUUGAUUUAAUCAUCAAUAUGACUGCAAAAAUCUUAGACGUAAAGGACAUUCUACUGUAGAGCCAUAUUUGUACUCUUAAAAUCAUUUUUUUUUUCUUUCUAAUGUUCUUGCUCUACAACUUCUUUUUUUAAUGGUUUGUUGUGGUGGUGGUGGUGGUGGUGGUGAUGGUGGUGAUUUAGGGGUUUGGUUGGUUGUUGAUGUUGCUGUGAUUUGGGGGGUUGGUUGGUUUUUGAUACUGGGGAUAAAAGCAAGAUUACCUCUUUCACCAUUUCUAUCUCUUUGAAUAAUUUCUUUACCUAUAGUUUAACAUAUGUCACAAAUUCUUUAUUUCUAUUAGUAUCAAUGAAUCACUUUCAUUUCUCGGGGAUAGUUUUGCUAGGUAUAAAAUUUACAGUCCUUUCAGUGCUUGAGAAAAAUCCCUGCCAUGUCUUCAUUGGCCUAGUUAGUUCACAUGGAAAAUCCUCUAUAGGCAAGGCAUUUAUCCCCACUGGCUGCUUUCCAGGUCUUUCCCCUCUUUUUAGUUUCCAGAAUUGUAGUUAUCAUGUGUCUUCAUGUUUAUGCAUAUGUUUAUUUAAUGUUUCUAUGACUUCUUGUGUCUAUAUGUUUAUCUUUUAAUAAGUUUUCAACCACGAUUUACCAUAUUUUUCAGUAUCCUUUUUGGGUUCUGAUGAUUAUAAAUGCUGUUUCUUUUUCUUUUCCCACAAGUCUCUGAAACCAUUCUUUUUUUCAAGCUAUUUUCUUUCUUUGUUCACAUUUAUGAUAUUUUAUUGUUCUGGAAUCAAGUUCACUGAUUCCACUCAGAUGUAGUGUUGCACAUAUUUAAUCUCACCACUCAGGAGGCAGAGCAAGUAUCCUUAUGAGAUCAAGGCCAGACAGGGCUACAGAGUGCAACUCUGUCUUAAAACAUAAAACAAACUUACUGAUUCCAUCCUAUCAUUCCAACUCUAUAGCUAAGCCCAUCCAAUGAGCUCAGAUUUUCUGUUGUAACACAAGUGCAGGCUAAUUUUUAUAUAAAAUAUUUCUUUGCUGAUAUUUUUGUAUACUCUUUUAUUUAUAUACUUUUAUUUAUUUUUAUAUACUCUUUUAUUUAUAUACUUUUACUUAUUUUUUUAUAUACUUUUAUUUUAUAUACUCUUUUAUAGGCUAAGUUCAGUAACACAAGUGCAGGCUAAUUUUUAUAUAAAAUAUUUCUUUGCUGAUAUUUUUAUAUACUCUUUUAUUUGUUUCAAGAGUAUAUGUAAUAGGUUGAAAACCCUGGGCUGAACCUAAGGCCUUGUUCAUGCUAGGCAAAUGCUCUAUCCCUUUUAUUUUGAAGGUCUCACAGUUGUUCAGGUUGACCUUGAACUCAUUCUAUAACCAGGCUGCCAUUCUUGCUGUUCUCCUACCUCAGCCAAGUGAUAAAUUCACAGUCCUGCAUCCACCAGGCCCUGAAAGGUAAUUCUAAUCUCUGAUACCACCACUACCACCUCAGCUGUAUGUUACCAUCACCUUCAAGUUGUAAUUUCCUGGCUCUUGGUAUGAAGGGUGGUGGUUUUUUAUUCUAUGCUGAAUUGGCUUUCAUGCUAAGAAACUCUGGGCCCUAUAAGAAAUAUACAUCCAGGGCUGGAGAGAUGGCUCAGUGGUUAAGAGCCGGACUGCUCUUCCAGAGGUCCUGAGUUCAAUUCCCAGCACCCACAUGGUGGCUCACAACCAUCUGUAAUGGGAUCUGAUGCCCUCUACUGGUGUGUGUCUGAGGACAGCUACAGUGUACUCAUGUAUAUUAACUAAAUAAUUCUUUUAAAAAAAAAAGAAAGAAGAUAAAAGAAAUACACACCCUAUUUAUGCCCAACACUCAGAUACAAGUCAGUAGUUAAGCACAUCAUAAUUUAUCAAUAUGAUGUAAUUCUACUCGCCAACAAAAAUGAAUUAUUGAUGUAUAGCCCAUGGAUAAAAUUCUAAGUAAUUAUGCUAAAUAGAGAAAACAAUUAUAUCCUGUGUGAAUCAAUUUACAUAUAUUCUAGGAAAUUUAGACACAUCUAUAAUCAGGAAAAAUGGAUUAGAAAGGAGGAGAUAUUAUUGACAGUUGAUGGAUUUUUGGGAAGGGUAAAUUGGUUUCCUUUAAGGUGAGGCCCUGGUAGGUCUACCACACUCUAGUGAAUGGCCUCAUAUCCAUGAAUACAUGGGCAAAAUAAAAGACUCACUGGGCUAUUUUUAAAAAGAAAGAAAAAGAAGACAUGACUUUGGGAACUGUGUGGUGGAGGAAAGAAGUAAGUGUAAAUAUGAUCAAAAUACAUUGUAUGUAUACAUGAAAUUCUCAAAGGGGAUUAAUAAAAUUAAUUUUAUUUUUUCAAAAAUGAAUAAAAUAUUCUACUUUUGAAAAAAAGAAAAGAGAGCAGGAAGUUGGAAGGUAGAAGCUGUGGUAAGGUAUAUGCAAAGUUUGGGGAUCUUGAUAUGCUCACUGUUUCAGUUAUAACAAAACUUACUGAUUUUUACUUUUAACACAGUUUAUUCUACCUUAAAACCAUCCCUCAUUUCUUAAUACCUCAUACCUAAAUAACAUUUUAUAUAAUGUUUUUUAUGAAGUCUAUGUUUGAUAUAAAGCAUAAAAUCCCCCAUAUGGUUUACUUAGAAGGAAAAUAAAUAAAAUAAAAAUAAGAAUGUGGUACCACACACAUUUAAUCUCAGCAGCACUCGAGAGGCAGAGGCAGGCAAAGCUCUGGGAGUGGAAAGUUAACCUGAUCGACAUAGGGAGUCCCAGGCCAGCCAGAGCUACACAGUGAAGAUAUAUUCAUUAAAAAGAAAAAGAUAAGCCAGGCAGAAAUUUAUCUGUACAUUCUAAUAAUCAUAAAAAUUAGUGUGAGUUGAAUUAAAGACCUAAGUAUUUGGGGGAAAGUCCACAACUGUGAUCAAUAACAGAAGAAAAAUUAACUACAAUGUGGGCAAAUGUCUAAAGCAGUCCAUCACUCUCAGAAGGGGACAGAUCAUGUGAGAAGAUAUUCACAUUAGCCACCUAAGACCCCAUGCGAUUCCAAGAAGAUGGGGAAUGGGGUCAGACAGUCCCCAUGUUGGUAAGGAUGUGUUAGAAGAAUUCUCACACUGCCCUGGGGCACGUGCUCUUACCUCCUUCAGUUUGGCAUAGCUUAGCCAUUCAAAGCCACGCCUCUUUGUGGGCCAGCUAUUUCAAUCCUACCAAUGGUUCCUGCAUCCUUCCACAGUGUCACACAAAUGUAGAGUAACACUACCUAAUUGCCAGGGGUUGGGGGCUGCAUACUAUGUGUGGAGAAGUUUGCAAACGUGCAAAAUAAUGUGGUAUGCUGAAGGACCCACGGGGUCAGAUAAAAGGGGUAGCCAUAGACUGUGAACACAGAAGGCGGUGGGGAAGCUGAACAGUCUGAGGAUGAACAAGCCUGCCCCCUGGUGGACAAUGGGCUCCUAGCCCCUGGGGGCUGUCAGAUUAACGUACUUCUUCACGUGAAUUAUAAAGCAAAGCUGUGGGGAUUUACAGGCUGGCUGAGAUGUGCGGCAGCUUCUGGGUCAAAUACAGAAAAUGAAGAGCGUUCAGCAGGAACAGCCUAGUCGGUCUAGAAGGGUGGCACUGUUUUUAAGAUCAAACACAAGACCGGCAAGGACAUGGGAGGAAAGCCUAAAUAAACUGCAGGAGCCAAUCAGGUGCCCUCUGCGGGGCUGGACCGUCUCCUAGCAACUGUGAGAGGGAGCCAAUCAGGUGCCCUCUGCGGGGCUGGACCGUCUCCUAGCAACUGUGAGCGGGAGUGAGAGAGGCAGUGCUACCCAGCCUUACCUGGAGCCCCGGAAGGCCUACAGAAGAGCUCCCCUUAGCAUGUCAGAAUCCUCUCUUGUUUCAACAAAAGACUCUUGGGGAAAAUACACAGACGAAGGAGAAGUCCUCAACAGCUUUAAGGUAUUGGCUCAGGUUCCGAGUAAAGAGAUCAUUUCACUCUUUCUUACUAAUUUGCUAUCUCAAUGACUCGUAGUGGCUUUCAGAUAAGAAAUCAGCUUAAUCACACAGGGACUCUCUUAUGGGAAAUGAGUCACCUCUCAUUUAACUGCUUCCAAAAGUUCUGUCUGUGGUUAUUAAAAUCGUGGUGUGGUGUUUUGUUUGGUUUGGUUAAUGUUUAUCUUACUUGGUGUCUGUGGGCUUCUUACAGGUACAGAUCAUUGUUCACCGACCUUAUAGAAGUUGCUUCUUCUCCUCCUCCCUGUAUCUUUUCCUACAUUCCCACUGUGAACAUCAGUAUAGCGACUGAUGCCCAGGGCUCUCUCAAGUUCUGGUUUUAAUUACUUGCUCUUGCAUUCUUUGUUUGCUCCUUAGAAUGGACACACAGCUGAACUAUCUCCAGUCUUCAGUCGGUCUACCCGAUAGGCUGUUGAACGCCUUUGCUGAAAUUUUCACUCCAGUCAAUAUGCUUUAUAACUCUAUAAUUUGUGGACUGUUUCUUUUUAUAAUUUUUCUUUACUGGAUUCUCUAUUUGUUGAAACACUAUUGACUUGAACUAUUUUGAUUCCAGGUCCGAAGUUCCCUAAGCUCUUUAUGCUGCGUUUCCUCCAGGUCACUUAGCAGACAGACAACUUAAGGGUAGGUCGGCAGCUGAAAAUAUCACCGCGGUCUCCAGCCACUGAGCAUCGGCUGUUUCUUUCUACAGUGUCUUCCAGUUCCGACUAGACUCCAUCAUUCUUCAGACACUGGUUCUGACUGCCUCGGUCAGCUCACUGCUUUCUUGAUGGGAAGACCUGGAUUUCUCUUUUAUGACAUUUUCAUUACAUACUCUUUUUUAACUGUUAUAUUCAUAUAAAAUAUCCACAGUUAAAUCCAUACAAUACAAAUUACAUUAGUUGUCUUAGAUAUUGUUCUAUGGUGGUAAAGAGACGCCACGACCACGGCAACUCUUACUAAGAAGAACAUUUAAUUGUGGCUGGCUUACAGGGUCAGCAGUUCAGCCCCUUGUAGUCAUCAUGGGAAGCAUGGUGGCCCACAGACAGACACGGUGCUGGAGAGAUAGCCAGACCUCCAUCCAGAUCAGCAGACAGCAGGAAGAGAGAGAGAAACUGGGCCUGGCUUGAACAUUUGAAACCUCAAAGUCCACCCACAGUGACACACUUCCUCCAACGAAGCCAUACCUACUCCAACAAACUCAUAACCCCUAUCCCUGUCAGGUAACACCACCACUACCUAAUGAUCAAGCAUUCAAGUCUACGAGCCCAUGGGAGCCAUUCCUAUUCAAACCACCACAGUGGCUAACAGAAGCUGGAAGAUGAGAGUAUGGAGUAAAAUAACUCCGCAAGUACAAGAUUCCUUUUGGAAGUAACAAAAGCAUUAUGGUGGUGAAGGCUGUACAAUUUAAUAUACACUAGUUGAUAGUAUACAAAAAUCCACUGAAUUACAUAUUUCUUAUGGGUGAACUUCAUAGUAAUUUUUUUCAUGUAUAUGAGUGUUUUGUGUAUCUCUGCACGACAUGCAUGCCGGGUGCAACAUUCAAAAGAGGAGGUUGGAUCCCCGGGAACAGAAGUUACUGAUAGUCAUGAAUCACCAUGCUAGGUCCUCUGCAAGAGCAACGAGUGCUCUUAACCACUGAGCCAUCUCUCCAGCCCCCAUUUUUAACAUUUAAAAUUCCAAUGAUGGGUCUUGUCAUCAAAUGAGGGUCUUUGCAGUAAUGGAGCUUGAAGUGUGGUGAUUUUUUUCUUUUUUUGUAAAACAUAUUAUGGUUUAUAGCAGACUUUGAAAAACAACCUUAAGAUUCAACGAAGGUCUGUUAAAUGGUUUCUAAUCAGCUAUUAUCCUGUACCUACCAGAUCUUUAAUGUCAUAGUUCAAGUUUCAACCAAAUUCCUUCAUAUAUAUGAUAUAUAUAGAUAUGCAUAUAUAAUACAUACAUACAUACACACAUAUAUAUAUAGUGUGUGUGUGUGUGUGUGUGUGUGUGUGUGUGUGUGUUUGUGUCUCGGAUGUGUCAGAUAUUUCUAUGCAAUUCAGAUCUGGUACAUAAUAUAGUAACUGAAAAUACAAUUUUAUUAACCACUGUUGACGAAGAACACUUCUCUAGGAGCCAGAUGUGGUGGGACACACCUAUGAUCACGCAUAUGCAGCCAGAGAAGAAGCUCAGCUGUCAUUUCUCAAGUGGUGUCUACCUUGUUUUUUGAGACAAGAUCUGUCAUUGGCCUAAGACUCAUUAAACGUGCUGGGCUACCUUGGCAGUGAGCCCCAGAGAUCUGCCUCUCUCUGCCUCCUCAGCACUGGGGUUGCAAUCAUGCACCACCACUUGAGUUGUUUUGACAUGAUUUAACAUUUACUUGUGUUGGUGGGGGGGGGGGUAACAUGUAUGUAUAGCACAGCACAUGUGUAGAGGUCAGAGGACAACCUGCAGGACUUGGUUCUCCCCUUCUACCAUGUGAGUCCACAGGGAUCAAACUCAGGUCACUGGCAGCAGGCGCUUUUACCCACUGGGCCAUCUUGCCAUCCCCUGACUUCGUGUAUGUAUGUGUAUGUGUAUGUGUAUGUGUAUGUGUAUGUCUAUGUCUAUGUCUAUGUCUAUUAUGUAUGUGAACAUGAACGCGGCUGCCCCAGGGAGGCCAGGAAGAGGGUUCCAGGUUCCCUAGAGCUGGAGUUACAGGUGGUAGUGAGCCAGCCAAUGUGAGUGACAGAAACCAAACUCCAGCUCUCCACAGAGCUUGCUUGCUUGUUUGUUUCAAGGCAGACAGGGUUUCUUUGUGUAGCUAUAGCUGCCCUGGAACUUGAUCUGUAGACCAGACUAGCCUUGAACUCAGAGAUUUACCAGCCUCUGUCUCCUGAGUGCUAGGAUUAAAGGCGUUCGUCAUCACACCCAGAACGCUCUUACCUGCUGAGUGGUCCUCCAGUGUCCCCUGACCCUUUCUUUAAAAAAAAAAAAAAAAAAAAUAUGGGUUCCCCAG